UAAGAGCCGAAGGCCGGAUAUAUCUUCAACACAUUUCACAUUCAGCCAAAUCUGCGCUUUAAACUCGAGGAAAACUAACCGCCUUUAGUGCGCUGCGACCACCUGCAUCAGAUGAGGUUUUGCCAAAACCAGGGCUCUGCCGCAGCUGUUCGCGGCCACUCCACCACACUUUUCCCGCACAGCCUCCUCCUCAGGCGCAGGAAGUGAGAGUGCUGCAGGACAGGCUCCAGCAUCAGCAGCACGAUCACGUCCACAUUCUCGUCAAGCAGUCUUUGGUGGGCCAGAUACAUCGCCAGCUUGAAAACCCCGGUCUUAACGUAUCCCUCUGUCAAGACAAACAGGGUCUUGUGACUGUAUCGGAUGCUCUGAGUGAGGUUAUCCACCAGCGGGACUCCAGGCGGCCAAUCCCUCUCCUCCAGACACAGAGGAUAUUGCUUCUCUCCUUCCUCUUCCAGUUUAACUCGCAGAUUCCUCAUCACCCAAUCAGAGACAUGUGGAUCUUUGGUGUCAUAAGUCACAAAGACACCAUAAGCACUGUCUGCUUUUAGAGCUCAACUCCGCAGCUGUCGCCUCCUGUUCAGAGUCUUGAUGUGUUUGGAACGAAAUGGUGUCCAGUGUGACUUACGGGAACCUGGCCAUUGAUGAUGACCUCUUCAGCAAAGCGGACUUUAACAGGAUUGGUCUUUAACUUGGCCUUCUUGGCUGCGCUGAUGAAUGCCGAUUUGGGCGACUUUUGGAGGGAAAGAGGAGAAAAAAAAGCUUAAAGGACAAUCAGUUAGUUUGGAGACGAGUCAUGUAUUUUUUUCAGCUCAAGCCCACAAUUCAAGGACGUGCUCCCCUCUUAAAACAUGACAACCUCCCAUUUCUGCACUCAGUGCUGAUGCAAUUAAGGUGGCUCUGUGUAAGGGCAUGAGAGGGAGGACGCCGGGGCUCACUGCUGGUGUGUCAUCGAGGCUGCAAAGAAACGGCUGCUAAACGGAAGCAAUUACAGGCUGGAUUAUGAGAGCUGCUUGGUCCUCUGAGUAUUGUGGAAUACUACAUCCAUGCUUUUUUUUCCUGCAAAUCAAAUCCUCAUUCAAGUUAAGCCACUUGUUAAGUGGCUGUUUUUUAAAGACUCAACACUCAUCAUGCUGAGCCUCUGAAAACACCAUGAACAAAAUGGUAAAUUGAAAUGCACGAUGAGUGGAUGUGUUUAGACAUUACAUUGUUGCAUGGUAUAAAACACUAUAAUCACUGCUGCAGUAUAUAGAUAAUUAGCAGAAAAGAAACAGCGUAUAUGUUGUUCUCUGUGAACUGUGAAGAAAGGCUGAAUGUAUAUGCUCGUGGCACCGUAUGUUCACCACCACCUGGUGCUCUGUGGCUGAUGGUAAACGUUGAUGCGGCAGGUUCAGCUGAGGUCUUGCGAGGAUCUGACAGUACAACAUGAGACGAAUUGGACAGAGUGCAGCAGUUGGACUCUCUUUGAGUUAGCGGGGCUCUGACACUCAGCUAAGGCCGGACUGAUACAGUGCCAGCACAAGCAUAUGGCAUGAUUAAUGACUUGUUUUCAUGGAGUCAAAAAAAAAUCAGCUCUGCAAACAAACAGCCUAUAGGAGGGCACUCGAUUUCAUUCAUAGAAGACAGAGAAACUCACUGGGUACGGCUGAACAACGGUCAACAAUAUGGACUCCUUGCAGCUCCUGCAAGACACAAAAAAUAUGUUUUUACUGAAUGCUUCAUUUUUAACAGGAAAUGUAAACGAGGCAAACAAAAUGGGAAAUCUGGAAAUAUUUCAGGUGUUAUUUUUGAGACAUCAUGGCGGACAGUAGCAGGAGGAACAUUGUGUCCCGGUGAUGCUCCAGGAAGCCCUGUCUUGCUUCCACAGUGCAGAGUUUUACUGCAGAGACUGAGCUCAUUCAAGGCCACAGGAGCUGUGAAGGAGUGGCCACAUGGGCACUUUUCCCUGUGCUAAUGUACUGUUUACAGACUGCAGCACAGGUCAUACGAGGACCAAACGCUCACAGCCAGCCACUCAGCUGUGUCACUGAUAUUAAUCUAAUGAGAUGCAUGAAGAGACAUCAACACCAGCGUACAGCUAAGUCACCGUGCAUGGAGCAGGUGGCCACAAAAAUGUCCAACUGAAAUACUUGUAACAACAAAAUGAAUAAUUUUUAUCAUGAAAUGAUGACAACACAAUGAAAAAAAUAUAAAUCACGAUGGACUAAUUCCAUGCUGAAAGUAUUUACCUCCCUUCAGGAGCCUUCAUUGUUUAUCAUUUACAGCGCUGAGUCAUCAGGGAUUGAAUGUGCCUUACGUUACAAUACUGACUCACCAAAAGCUGGAGCUUCUAGAUACAGAUGUUACCUUGCGAGGCAACAUCUGAAUCCAUCCUGCCAGGCUUCACGCAAAGAUGCUCCAUAACAACCAGGUUAUCCAUUACAAGCUGCGUCAGUGGUAUGAAAUGACAUACACUUCCUGUCUCCUAAGUGGGCGUGGUCGCCUCUCUUGGAUGGUUCAUCCAAUCACCUGCAAAGUAUUUUUGUGAAAGCGCCUGCCCUUCUCCAGUUUGCAUUGACGACUUCCCAGAUGGCCCCUGUUUAACAAACCAUCUGGCAUGUGAGGUUAAUACAGAUGUACUUAUACUACAUCUGUAAUCUAACACAACUUAACACACACGUGAUCUCCAUUUAACUGAUCAUGUGACUUCUAAACAAACUGGCUGCUCCACAAUUAGAUGGAGUGAAAAUAUGUGUUGUAUUUCAUAUUUGUCAUUAAUUAAGUAGAGACUUGUAGAGAUCAAUUUUGUGUUUCUGUUAAUAUUUGUCAAAAAAAGACACAUUAAGUCUUCUCUGAUUCAACGCUGUAAGACAACAAAGCAUGAAAACUUCCAAGAAGGGUGAAGAGCUUUUCUAGGCACUGUACAUUUAUCGACAACAGCAGGCAAAUGGCAUCUCACCUUAGUGUGUUGUCAUACCUGACAAGGUCAAUAACCCUCUCCCUGGGUGCUGAGCUGACUGGCUCAUCAUUAAUCAUGAUGAUCUCGUCCCCUGGGAUCAGCUUGCCUUCUGAUGGACCCCCUGCCAGCACACACCAAACAUGAGUUAAGUAGUAAUAACUGUGCACAGUCAGGCCAUUUUUCCUGAUAGUCUUGGUUUCCUGACUUGUGGCUCAAGGCUUUAAUGAAUGCUUACUCAUUGAGUGCUGUUAAAAUCAAUGAAUCAUCGGACUGAGUGAAUUUCUCCCUUUCUGGCUACAAUUUAGGGGGAUUUCAUCUGGGAAUGUGUUGAUAAUAGCCACGGAUCGAGUGAGUCACUGUUGUAUUGGAGCUCACAGGCACUUUACCUGGUGUGACUGAGCGGACCACCACAGGUUUCUCACUGCCUGCCACAAAUCCAAAGCCAAGCACCGGGUCUCGUCUCAUCUCCACCUUCCGGGGCGCUGGUGGCACAAAUUUGUCCCCGUCCAGACGAACCUCCUCCAGGGAGCUGCUCUGGGAGAUGUGGCUGUGGGAGGAAAUGACAUGUUUUGUUUUUGUCAUUGCUACUGGUUGUUUUUCUUACAUUGUACAACACUGCUUUUGUAUGCAGUAUUGUGAAACCACUAUUAGUGCAUCUACAAAAAAAGAUGUGUAAAUUUCAAUAUUACAAAUUUUGCAAUGAAAAUGUUUGCUGUAUUUAAAAUUUAAA
Long non-coding RNA from Chelmon rostratus (copperband butterflyfish), 3665 nucleotides. RefSeq lists it as uncharacterized. The transcript is spliced from 3 exons. Lineage: Eukaryota; Metazoa; Chordata; Actinopteri; Chaetodontiformes; Chaetodontidae. The record is from RefSeq and is a predicted model, not a curated record.